This is a small nucleolar RNA of Jaculus jaculus (lesser Egyptian jerboa), 74 nucleotides long. Ensembl annotates it as small nucleolar RNA, C/D box 107. Its record names the gene Snord107. The record is from Ensembl. NCBI's taxonomy places the organism in Eukaryota, Metazoa, Chordata, Mammalia, Rodentia, Dipodidae.
GGUUCAUGAUGACACAGGAACUUGUCUGACCAUAAUGAUUUCAAAAGUGGAGCUUAAAGUGAUACUCUGAAGUC